GAGGGUAUAGCUCAGUGGUACAGUGCGUGCCUAGCAUGCACGAGGUCCUGGGUUCAAUUGCCGAGUACUGACA
Molecule: transfer RNA, 73 nt
Filed under: Camelus bactrianus (Bactrian camel)
Lineage: Eukaryota; Metazoa; Chordata; Mammalia; Artiodactyla; Camelidae
Also listed under: 1 other name
Rfam family: tRNA
About the family: Transfer RNA (tRNA) molecules are approximately 80 nucleotides in length.
Source: Rfam by way of RNAcentral